RNAcentral lists this unclassified non-coding RNA (210 nucleotides) under Stutzerimonas balearica DSM 6083. Its description in RNAcentral is "Pseudomonas balearica DSM 6083 Pseudomonas sRNA P29". The record is from RNAcentral. Lineage: Bacteria; Pseudomonadati; Pseudomonadota; Gammaproteobacteria; Pseudomonadales; Pseudomonadaceae.
AAGCAAAAGGGGAAGCCGUGAGGCUUCCCCUUGAAGGGAUCGUGCUUUGUUCUUCUUCUGCUGACGGGCUUGUUGUUCUUGUUUGCAGCCCGGCCGGGCCUCAGGGCCCAUGGUUCCAAAUGGAACCGAGGAACAAACGGAUUAUUUUGGUCGCUGAUGCUGCCUGCCCUCGCGGGCCAACCGGUUCUGGUGCUGCCUUGCAUGGCAGUU